UACGAAGGGGGCUAGCGUUGCUCGGAAUCACUGGGCGUAAAGGGUGCGUAGGCGGGUCUUUAAGUCAGGGGUGAAAUCCUGGAGCUCAACUCCAGAACUGCCUUUGAUACUGAGGAUCUUGAGUUCGGGAGAGGUGAGUGGAACUGCGAGUGUAGAGGUGAAAUCCGUAGAUAUUCGCAAGAACACCAGUGGCGAAGGCGGCUCACUGGCCCGAUACUGACGCUGAGGCACGAAAGCGUGGGGAGCAAAC
This 250-nucleotide ribosomal RNA is filed under the name uncultured bacterium. Its description in RNAcentral is "partial 16S ribosomal RNA". It matches the Rfam family "Bacterial small subunit ribosomal RNA", at positions 524 to 773 of the family's 1533-position model. The record is from RNAcentral.